UAAACGAUGUGGAUUAGGUGUUGGAGGUGUCGAUCCCUUCAGCGCCGACGCUAACGCAUUAAAUCCACCACCUGGGGAGUACGGUCGCAAGACUGAAACUCAAAGAAAUUGACGGGGACCCGCACAAGCGGUGGAGCAUGUGGUUUAAUUCGAGGCUACGCGAAGAACCUUACCCAGGCUUGACAUGUAGUUGAAUAACUGUGAAAGCAUUUAGGCCCGCAAGGGACAAUUACACAGGUGCUGCAUGGCUGUCGUCAGCUCGUGCUGUGAAGUGUUGGGUUAAGUCCCGCAACGAGCGCAACCUUUGUCCUUAGUUGCCAUCACGUAAUGGUGGGCACUCUAAGGAGACUGCCGGUGAUAAACUGGAGGAAGGAGGAGAUGACGUCAAGUCAGUAUGGCCCUUAUGCCUGGGGCUACACACGUGCUACAAUGGCCGCGACAAAGGGAAGCAAUACCGCGAGGUGGAGCAAAUCCCAAAAAAACGGCCUCAGUUCAGAUUGAAGGCUGCAACUCGCCUUCAUGAAGUCGGAAUCGCUAGUAACGGUAGAUCAGCUACGCUACCGUGAAUACGUUCCCGGGUCUUGUACACACCGCCCGUCAAGCCACCUGAGUUGGGAGCACCCGAAGUCGUUCACCUAACCCGUAAGGGAGGGAAACGCCUAAGGUGAGACUAAUAAGGAGGGCUAAGUCGUAACAAGGUAACCA
RNAcentral lists this ribosomal RNA (705 nucleotides) under uncultured organism. RNAcentral's name for it is "bacterial SSU rRNA". It matches the Rfam family "Bacterial small subunit ribosomal RNA", at positions 803 to 1502 of the family's 1533-position model. The record is from RNAcentral.